Molecule: ribosomal RNA, 468 nt
Filed under: uncultured bacterium
Lineage: Bacteria
Description: partial 16S ribosomal RNA
Rfam family: Bacterial small subunit ribosomal RNA
Source: RNAcentral
GACGAACGCUGGCGGCGUGCUUAACACAUGCAAGUCGAACGGCAAGGCCCUGCUUUUGUGGGGUGCUCGAGUGGCGAACGGGUGAGUAACACGUGAGUAACCUGCCCUUGACUUUGGGAUAACUUCAGGAAACUGGGGCUACUACCGGAUAGGAGCUCCUGCUGCUUGGUGGGGGUUGGAAAGUUUCGGCGGUUGGGGAUGGACUCGCGGCUUAUCAGCUUGUUGGUGGGGUAGUGGCUUACCAAGGCUUUGACGGGUAGCCGGCCUGAGAGGGUGACCGGCCACAUUGGGACUAAGGUACGGACCAGACUCCUACGGGAGGCAGCAGUGGGGAAUAUUGCACAAUGGGCGGAAGCCUGAUGCAGCAACGCCGCGUGCGGGAUGACGGCCUUCGGGUUGUAAACCGCUUUCGCCUGUGACGAAGCGUGAGUGACGGUAAUGGGUAAAGAAGCACCGGCUAACUACGUG